GCCGAAAGGCAGCCAGUUCAGGCCAGUUCACUAUAGCUGUAGUACUCAGUCUGUCCCACUGAGCUGUCAACACACAGCAACCAUCCACUCUGCUUGUCUGUUUCGACAACAUUUUUCUAUUAAAUUUAGUCCCUUUUUCUUCAACGACGUUUUCCUUCAGAUAACAGCUACUCUCGUCUCAUUAUGACUCGAAGGUGAUCUUCAGAGUGACCAGGUGGUUCUGGGGUUCCAGGUUGGUGUGGUGAGAGAGCAAGCUAAUUGCAGGGAGGAGGACCGCCUGGGGCAUCGUGUUCCUGGCUCUCAAGUGACUAAGGGAGGGGCUUGGCUAACUGUUCUGCAGCAUGGAGAAGGAAGACCUGAAAGUCCUCAACAAAGGGGAAGAGGAGGAAAUGGAGCUGCAGGGCUACCGUCUGUGUCGUUGGCGGCUGGCCCUGGUUGGCCUUGGGGUGCUGUGUACAGGGGGCUUCCUCCUUCUGCUGCUCUACUGGAUGCCAGAGUGGUGCGUCAAAUCCACCUGCACUCGUACCACAGCCCGUGAUGCCGAAGUGGUAUUGCUGCGCUCCACGGAUGAGUUCCGGCGCUGGUUCCUGGCCAGGGUACGAGUUAUGCUGGCCCCGGGGAGCAACCCCUUCCACAGCCUGGAGACCCAGACCACCUCCCCCUCCUCCCCUUCAUCUCCCACCUGCCACUUCUCCUCCCCUGCUCAGGCCAACGGACACACCCUUCACCCCUCCGAUGGCAGCCCUGCUCAGGAGCUCAUCAGAAGAUAUGCCGACUACCAGCCCACACAGAUUCGGUAUUUUACCUUCCAUAGCACAAAGUAUUAUUGGAACGACCAGCUGCAGAACUUUGAAGUUUUAACAGGUGUGGAGGAUCUGCAGGUCAGCUGCUCCACCCUCCACUCGGAGCACAGUGCGGGCCUGACCAGGAACCAGCAGGAGUACAGGAGACUCUUCUUUGGAGUGAAUGAAAUUGCAGUGAAAGUGCCUUCUGUUUUCAAGCUGCUUAUCAAAGAGGUCCUCAACCCUUUUUACAUCUUCCAGCUCUUCAGUGUGAUCCUGUGGAGUGCCGAUGAGUAUUACUACUAUGCUGUGGCCAUUGUUAUCAUGUCAGUCAUAUCCAUAGCUACCUCUCUAUACACCAUCAAAAAGCAAUACGUCAUGCUUCACGAUAUGGUGGCGGCUCACAGUAUUGUCCGUGUGUCUGUAUGCCGAGCCAACAAUGAAAUCGAAGAGAUUUUGUCUACUGAUCUGGUGCCUGGUGAUCUGAUGGUCAUCCCCAGCAAUGGGACCAUCAUGCCAUGUGACGCCGUGCUGGUCAGCGGCACCUGCAUCGUCAAUGAAAGCAUGCUCACAGGUGAGAGCGUUCCUGUUACAAAGACCAACCUCCCAAACCCAUUGCCAGGGGAGAGGGGGAAUGAGGCUGAUGGUGCGUACACCAUAGAGGGACAUAAGAGACACACUCUCUUCUGUGGCACUCACGUCAUCCAAACCCGCUUCUAUACAGGCGAACUGGUCAAGGCUGUGGUGGUCCGCACAGGUUUCAGCACAGCCAAAGGCCAGCUGGUGCGUUCUAUCCUUUACCCAAAGCCCACCGACUUCAAACUGUACCGUGAUGCCUACCUCUUCCUGCUGUGUCUAGUGGCUGUUGCUGGAAUUGGCUUUGUCUACUCCAUCGUCCUCAGCAUCUUGAACAAGGUGCCAGCUAAAACCAUCAUCAUCGAGUCCCUGGACAUCAUCACCAUCACUGUGCCACCGGCUCUGCCAGCUGCCAUGACAGCUGGCAUUGUGUACGCCCAGCGACGCCUCAAACGCAUUGGAAUUUUCUGCAUCAGCCCACAGAGGAUCAAUAUCUGCGGACAAAUAAAUCUGGUCUGCUUUGACAAGACUGGAACACUAACAGAAGAUGGAUUAGACUUAUGGGGAGUCCAGAGGGUUGAGAAUGGCAGUUUUCACCUGUCAGAGGAAAAUGCCUACAAGGAAAAUCUUGUCAAGUCACAGUUUGUGGCCUGUAUGGCCACCUGCCACUCUCUUACUAAAAUAGAUGGCCAGCUGUCUGGAGACCCGCUGGACCUUAAAAUGUUUGACGCUACAGGCUGGAUCCUGGAGGAAGCCACUGAAGAGGAAACAUCUCUCCACAACCGUAUCAUGCCCACUGUGGUUCGACCCCCAAAACAGCUGUUGCCUCCUGAGCCUGCCACAUCACCGGAGCAGGACAUGGAAUUGUAUGAACUCCCGUCAGCGUAUGAAAUAGGCAUCGUGCGCCAGUUUCCGUUUUCGUCAGCACUCCAGAGAAUGAGUGUGGUGGCUCGUCUGCUGGGGGAGAAACGUAUGGAUGCCUACACGAAGGGAGCGCCGGAGGUUGUGGCAAGUCUCUGCAAGAAAGAGACAGUGCCAGAAGACUUUGCCGAGGUUUUGGAGGGCUACACCAAGCAGGGUUUCAGAGUCAUAGCUCUGGCUCAUCGCCGACUUGAAUCCAAACUCACCUGGCACAAAGUACAGAAUGUGAACAGGGAUCACAUAGAGACAAACAUGGAGUUUCUGGGUCUGAUCAUCAUGCAGAACAAGCUGAAGGCAGAAACCCCAGGGGUUCUGCAGGACCUCCACAGAGCACACAUCCGCACUGUUAUGGUUACAGGUGACAACAUGCUGACAGCCAUCUCUGUGGCCAGGGACUGUGGAAUGAUCCCACCUCAAGACAAAGUCAUCAUUGCUGAUGCCCUUCCUCCCCAUAAUGGACAAGCCGCCAAGAUCACCUGGAGAUACGCUGACAAGCCGAGCAAGACACCUCGCCUGGAGGAAGUGAAUAUCAGUCUGGAGGAUGUGUGUGAUGUAGACGAGCAAAAAACACAAGAGCUGUUCCACUUUGCAAUGAAUGGCAAAUCAUUCGCUGUCAUCGAGGAGCAUUUCCCUGACAUGCUUCAAAAGCUCGUUCUCCAUGGAACGGUGUUUGCCAGAAUGGCCCCUGACCAGAAAACGCAGCUCAUUGAGGCACUGCAGGGCGUAGACUACUUUGUGGGGAUGUGUGGAGAUGGAGCAAACGACUGUGGGGCUCUGAAGAGGGCCCAUGGCGGCAUCUCUCUGUCAGAGCUCGAGGCCUCAGUAGCCUCACCCUUCACCUCCAGGACUCCCAACAUCUCUUGCGUCCCCAGCCUCAUAAGGGAGGGGCGUGCUGCUCUCAUCACCUCCUUCUGUGUGUUCAAGUUCAUGGCCCUCUACAGCAUCAUCCAGUACAUCAGUGUCACUCUCCUCUACUCUAUCCUCAGUAACCUUGGAGACUUCCAGUUCCUCUUCAUCGACAUUGCUAUCAUCCUCCUUAUUGUCUUUACUAUGAGUCUGAACCCAGCGUGGAAAGAGCUCGUGUCACGUCGUCCCCCAUCAGGUCUGAUCUCAGGGCCUCUGCUGUUCUCUGUGCUGACCCAGAUCCUCAUCUGCUUGGGCUUCCAAACCAUUACAUUCCUCUGGGUCCGACAGCAGCCCUGGUACACAGUCUGGACACCAUUUACAGAUGUCUGCAACCAGUCUUCACACAUCAAUGUGUCUGACCACAACGACACAGAGCUGGAUGACCACAACAUCCAAAACUUUGAGAACACCAGCCUCUUCUAUGUCUCCUGCUUCCAGUACCUUAUUGUUGCCAUCGUUUUCUCAAAAGGCAAACCUUUCAGGCAGCCUAGCUACAAGAAUUGGCCUUUUGUGCUGUCUGCCGUGAGUUUGUAUGUUUUCCUGCUGUUCAUUAUGUUCCACCCUGUUGAAAGCAUUGACAUGUUUUUGGAGAUUGUUUGCGUCCCUUAUGAGUGGAGGGUAAAACUCUUCCUCAUUAUCUUAAUCAAUGCUGCUGUGUCUGUUGUGGUGGAGAUGGACAGCAGUGUUGUGUUGUGAGAAGAAAUUACCUUCAGUAGUGAAAAUUGUAAAAUGACGGUGUCUGUGCUACAACACUCAACAUGUUUUUUGUGCACCAUUUUUUAGUGAAAUGUAUGCAUUUUGACAUUACUUAUAGCAGCAUAUGUUUGUCUUUUUGGAUAGACAGAUGGUCUUUAAGGAAUUAAUUUACUUUAGUCCAACUGACAAUGGAUAAUUCGUGCUGGCCUGCCACCCUCAGUGGAGCAGUAUCACUAUGGCUGCUAUGCUUUUUAGAUAGCUUGCAGACAUGCCCUGCUUAGGAGACACUUUAGAUGAUGCUCUUUCCCAAACUAUCAGUCCAAAUCCUCUUCACCUUUUUAAGUGAAUUAAAAAAAAAAUCAAUCAAGUUGACUUUGCACUCAGAGUUUCCAGUAUUUUGAGAUGAUAGUAUCCAUGCACUCUCUUCUUACUAAUUGGUUUAGUUUAAUUUUAACCUCGCACGCAUUAACACACAGCUUAAUGGAACAAAGCUUUGAUAAGUUGUGGCUCUGCAAAAACAAUUGAAGACCUCUGUGGAAAAAACAAUAGCAGACGCUAUGUGAAAUCAAAUUAGCCUCUCUGUAAUUCUUUCCCCUGCCCACUGCGCUAUUCCAUAGACCUUCAUCCAUGACAUCAUCUUAUGGAAGCUUGUGUUCAGCCGAGACAAACAAGGCAGCUUUGGCGUCACUCCUGCUGCCCCGACACCACAGGGUGGCAUUGACCGCGGGGCGUUCAAGUGUCUGUCCUGGCUGGGCUGCCCACGCAA
RNA transcript from Scatophagus argus, 4647 nucleotides. It is a transcript of the gene named ATPase 13A3, with no coding region annotated. The record is from RefSeq and is a predicted model, not a curated record. Lineage: Eukaryota; Metazoa; Chordata; Actinopteri; Scatophagidae. The transcript has 34 exons.